CGGGAAGCUCCACAAAGCUGUCUCGAUCGGGGACAUGGCGAAAGAGCAGCAGCUGCUGCUCGGAAAGCACAGCGUGAAGGAUCUGUAUAAAAUAAUGAGGGUAUGUACCCCGGACCUGUAGUCAGCCAGGCAGAAAAUACACCUGAGGCCUCAACAUCCAUUCCCAAGAGUGUGCUGACCCAGAUCCACAGACCACAGACCACAAGGCUCAGGUUUGAAGAUGCAGACUGCAUGUUAAAUGGAGGUGUCUGAGAAUCAAGAGUCCUGCCUAUACUACUCAUACUGAAGAAGACAAUUCUCUGGAGUGGUAAUCAGAGUUUGAAAUGAAAACUAAGCACUACAAUGAUCUAAUCGCAAAGGACUCAUGAUGAAAAAUGCUACCCACAUCCAGAGAAAGAACUGAUGAAGCCUGAAUGCAGGCCAAGGUAUACGAUUUUCACUUUAGAUUUUUCAUAGCUUUUUUUCAGUUUAAAUUGUUUCUUCUCUCACACCAGGACUAAGAUGGAAAUACAUUUAGAUGCUUUCCAUGACAGCACCUAAAUAAUCAAUAUAAAACUGGUAUUGUUUUACAGAGGUGGGGGAAGAAGAGGAGGAUGAGGGGAAAUUUGGAACUCAAAAUGUUUAAAAAAUAAAUGUUCAAACAAGUCUUUAUGUACCAUAAGGGAAAAUACUCUUAAAACAAAGAAAAAGAAUAGCAGGUAGGCCAGUAUAGGUGGAUUGAAGAAUUAGGUAGAGGAGUAAAGUGUGAGAAAACUGGUGAUAGGGAGCCAAUACUACUACAUGAGGAGGAGAAAUGACAUGGUAAAAUUUAUGCUUGAGGAAAAUCACUUUGGCACCUUUGAAGAAGGGAUUAGUGUAUGGAAGGACUUCAUUUAAAGAAAGAAAGAAGAAGGCAAGUACAAUAAUAUAAACAAGAAGCAAUGAAUGCCUGCAUUAUACUGAUGAUUAUUAUUAGAUUGAAAUGGACCGUUAUGACAGAUGCUACAAAAGCAGAAAAUUUGUCAUUAUCAAAAGGAGUUAAGGAUGUUAUUAAGGUUACAGUCCUGGGUGAAUCAGAGGAAAGUGCUGUCACUGAUAAUAGGGACAUUCCAAAGAGGGGAUGUUGAGGUCUAGAUUUGGGCUACCUAAAUGAAAUUAGAUUGCUGAGGUCUAGUGGCAGGUUUGGGGUACAGGGAGUCAAACAGAGCUCCCCUGCAACCCCCUUGGAUUCGGCGCAAGGAUACGGCGGUAAAUGAAGUCUAGUAGUGGUAGUAAGGAGAUAGGUGAAGGCAGAGUUAAGGAGGGCACCAGACAGAGGGUCCAGUGGACAGAGGGUCCUCACAUGGCUGGCAUGUUUGGGACCUCUGCAAAGAGGGGGUCGCAGCAUGUCCCUUUUAUAAUGGGAGAUUUAGCUCGAGAGAUUAGCUGGAUUUGUGAGUUAAAGAAUAAUUACAUUCAUUAGGAGGGGGUGGGAAACUAGAAAGGAAUCUUUUCCACAUCAGGGAGGGCUUAGGAAGAAAAGAUAAUUCUGUUAAGUCAAAAUGCAUGUGGCACAUCCCAUUUGAGAUAUCCAAAACAACAUUGGUGAGGUAUGGAAGGAGCUCAAGAGAGAGAGAGAUUAGGGUUGAGUAUAUAUCACUGUGGAAAUCAUUCCUCCACAAGAGUGUUAAGGAAACUCAUGAAGAGCAGAUAAGAUCAUCAAGAGAAGAAACAAUACCAUUUCCAAGGGUGUAAACUCCAUGACAGCUCAGGCCAUGUCAUAUUCUUCUCUUAGCUGCCCUAAAGUUUCACAAAGUAUUCUGUAUAGCAGGGGACUAAGACAUAAGGAUUUGGAAAAAGCAGAUAUUUACAGCAUAUCAGAAACAGAAAAUACCUUUCUAACUUUAUUAAACAUCACUCGCCUUCUUGCAGUCUACAUUUCAAUCAAAAUAAUGAAAUUCCAAUCAAACCAACUUUUGCUUCUACACAGGACAACACAUAACUCCCAUUUCCCAAAGCCACACCCUUGUGCAGGGUGUCUUCUCAGCCUGGAGUGCAUUGCUGCUUUCCUAAGCUUCCCCUCCAUUAGAAUUUCUUGUUUCUUUAAAUUCUGCUUCAGUACCUUCUUCUGAAGUUGCUGCUACUAAUUUCCUUUGAAAACCAUGUCCUGCUUCCUGCUCCAAAUUUCCAAGACUUUAUUGUAUUGUAUUUAUAUCCUGUAUUCUCGAAUGGAAUGUAUAUCCUGUAUUCUCGAAUGGAAUGUAUAUCCUGUAUUCUCGAAUGGAAUGUAUAUCCUGUAUUCUCGAAUGGAAUGUAUAUCCUGUAUUCUCGAAUGGAAUGUAAACUUCCUGAUGGCACUUGAUUUUUGUCUUAGAGCUUCAGUACCCACAACAAUGCUAGUCUCACACAAGGCACUUGAUAAAUAUAUCUUAAUUAAAGACUCUUUGUGCUUCAAAAAUAAUAUGAUGAAAUAAGAGUGAGCACUAAUUGGAAAUUAUUUCUGCCUCCAUAGAGUUCUCAAUUACAUUCUGCUUUUUGAUUCUUUAACUGGUAUUUAGUUUUCCUUCUUUCUGAGAAUUUUUCCUGUAGUCCAGUAACUA
This is a long non-coding RNA of Antechinus flavipes (yellow-footed antechinus), 2558 nucleotides long. RefSeq lists it as uncharacterized. NCBI's taxonomy places the organism in Eukaryota, Metazoa, Chordata, Mammalia, Dasyuromorphia, Dasyuridae. The transcript is spliced from 4 exons. The record is from RefSeq and is a predicted model, not a curated record.